Brienomyrus brachyistius is the source of this 952-nucleotide long non-coding RNA. RefSeq lists it as uncharacterized. Lineage: Eukaryota; Metazoa; Chordata; Actinopteri; Osteoglossiformes; Mormyridae. The transcript is spliced from 3 exons. The record is from RefSeq and is a predicted model, not a curated record.
GUUGCAGAUAAACCAAACAGUGAUUUCAGGGCACUGCCUCACCAGACAGAGUCACUUGUAACUGCUGAGGAAGGUUACAAUGAAGCAAUCAGGAACCAGUCACAGAUUUACAAAGACCAAAAGGACACCAGAGGACACCAGGAGCAUACUGCUAAUUUGCAAACAGCACCUGAUGUACGUCAACCACCUCAAAGUACAAACUGCAAUGCAUUACAGGACUCUGAAGGGGAUGAGCUCCUCUACCCAGGGGCACCUCUCUCCAAAGGACAGAGUCUGCUUCUUUUGAUGGCGUACAUUUUGAGACACAACCUGACAGGGAUAGCCCUUGAACAUCUUCUCAAAAUGUUCAAUGAACAUUUCCCAGGAUCAAUGCCUGCAACUUCUUACCUGUUCCAUAAGGCCUAUGGACAGUAUGGACAGUAUGAAGCACAUUUUUACUGUUCUAGAUGCACAAGCUACAUAGGUAAUGGUACUGAUCAGACACAGUGUACAAUAUGUCACAUGUCAUUUGAUGCAGACACUAAUUUGAGAAAUGGGUCAUAUUUUCUUGUUUUGAAUUUAUCCUCCCAAAUUAAGGACAUUCUUAAAAAUCCCCAGACAGCUUUAGCAAGGAAUGUAUCACCCAGUGGUGUUUUUAAUGAUAUACAUUCAGGAACGCAGUAUGAGAAGCUAAUCAGGAGUGGUGAAACUAGUAAAGAUGACAUAAGUCUAUUGUGGAACUGUGAUGGUAUCCCUGUUUUCAAGAGUUCCAAGUGUCAGCUAUGGCCCAUUCAGUGUCAGAUUAUUGAACUGAAUCCGAAAGAUCGGAAAAGUAAUGUUUGCAUACCAUGUAUUUGGUGUGGUGAGGUGAAACCCAACAUGACAACUCUGUUAACUCCAUUUGUUGAUCAGCUACAAGAAUUGGAGAAAAAUGGAAUAAAAUGGAUAGACACAGAGAACCAACAGCAUUCAU